AACGAACGCUGGCGGCAGGCCUAACACAUGCAAGUCGAACGCCGUAGCAAUACGGAGUGGCAGACGGGUGAGUAACACGUGGGAACGUACCCUUCGGUUCGGGAUAACUCACGGGAAACUUGAGCUAAUACCGGAUACGUCCGAGAGGAGAAAGAUUUAUCGCCGAGGGAUCGGCCCGCGUCUGAUUAGCUAGUUGGUGAGGUAAUGGCUCACCAAGGCGACGAUCAGUAGCUGGCUGAGAGGAUGAUCAGCAUCACUGGACUGAGACACGGCCCAGACUCCUACGGGAGGCAGCAGUGGGGAAUAUUGGACAAUGGGCGCAAGCCUGAUCCAGCCAUGCCGCGUGGAUGAUGAAGGCCUUAGGGUUGUAAAGUCCUUUCGGCGGGGAAGAUAAUG
Molecule: ribosomal RNA, 396 nt
Filed under: uncultured bacterium
Lineage: Bacteria
Description: bacterial SSU rRNA
Rfam family: Bacterial small subunit ribosomal RNA
Source: RNAcentral